This 376-nucleotide ribosomal RNA is filed under the name uncultured organism. RNAcentral's name for it is "partial 16S ribosomal RNA". It matches the Rfam family "Bacterial small subunit ribosomal RNA", at positions 527 to 896 of the family's 1533-position model. The record is from RNAcentral.
GUAGGUGGCAAGCGUUGUCCGGAAUUAUUGGCGUAAAGCGCGCGCAGGUGGUUCGUUUAAGUCUGAUGUGAAAGACCCCCGGCUCAACCGGGGAGGGUCAUUGGAAACUGGGGAACUUGAGUGCAGGAGAGGAAAGUGGAAUUCCACGUGUAGCGGUGAAAUGCGUAGAUAUGUGGAGGAACACCAGUGGCGAAGGCGACUUUCUGGCCUGUAACUGACACUGAGGCGCGAAAGCGUGGGGAGCAAACAGGAUUAGAUACCCUGGUAGUCCACGCCGUAAACGAUGAGUGCUAAGUGUUCGGGGGGGUUUCCGCCCCCUCAGUGCUGCAGCUAACGCAUUAAGCACUCCGCCUGGGGAGUACGGUCGCAAAGACUG